This 581-nucleotide long non-coding RNA is filed under the name Apteryx rowi (Okarito brown kiwi). Its description in RNAcentral is "lncRNA (ENSARWG00000016250.1)". Lineage: Eukaryota; Metazoa; Chordata; Aves; Apterygiformes; Apterygidae. The record is from RNAcentral.
AUGUGCAGCACCUGCCAGAAUGACUCCCUUAUCUUCAGCUGGAACCUAAGACAAAGAAAAGAAUUUGCUGUAAUGAGCCACUUAUGGAGAAUUUCAUCUCGAUAUUUGCAGCGCUAGCACAGCAUCACAGUCAGCAUCACAACUUUUCUACCAGAGUUAAGGAGAGCACCCAGAGGAGGAUGGGAGCCUUGAGGUCCUGCUUCCAUAUUACACGUGUGGGACUGCAGCAGCUGAAAGCAGGGCUGGGGGAUUCCUCGUGUGCAUCCAUCAUCUCUAAAUGCCUCUCUGCAUCCUGGUCUGAAUUCAGCAGCAAGUACAAGCAGCCUGGCUCGCCGACAGCAGGUUGGACUUCCCUGGCAGUCGGGGCUUGCGGGCAAGCUCUUCCCAGCUCAAAAAUGAGACUUAAGCCAGGUCUUGAGCCUGUGUUCAGAGGGAGUAUAGGGCGCACAGCACCUUGCAGGAUGGGGCCCACCACUGUGCUCUGUGUAGUUCUCCCCUUCCCCCUCCCCAGCUCUGCUUUAGCAAUAACCUACUUUCUUGCUUUGUGGAAAGAACAGCUUGGAUUACGUUGCUACAAAUGA